AGCGGCAGACGGGUGAGUAACGCGUGGGAACGUACCUUUUGCUACGGAAUAACUCAGGGAAACUUGUGCUAAUACCGUAUGUGCCCUUCGGGGAAAGAUUUAUCGGCAAAGGAUCGGCCCGCGUUGGAUUAGCUAGUUGGUGAGGUAAAGGCUCACCAAGGCGACGAUCCAUAGCUGGUCUGAUAGGAUGAUCAGCCACACUGGGACUGAGACACGGCCCAGACUCCUACGGGAGGCAGCAGCG
Molecule: ribosomal RNA, 244 nt
Filed under: uncultured Ochrobactrum sp.
Lineage: Bacteria; Pseudomonadati; Pseudomonadota; Alphaproteobacteria; Hyphomicrobiales; Brucellaceae
Description: partial 16S ribosomal RNA
Rfam family: Bacterial small subunit ribosomal RNA
Source: RNAcentral